RNAcentral lists this long non-coding RNA (856 nucleotides) under Physeter macrocephalus (sperm whale). RNAcentral's name for it is "Physeter catodon (sperm whale) lncRNA (ENSPCTG00005018636.1)". Lineage: Eukaryota; Metazoa; Chordata; Mammalia; Artiodactyla; Physeteridae. The record is from RNAcentral.
GACAGCUUCAGUUAGAAAAAGUCCCCGUGAAGAGCUUGAUUGGUUGGCUUUGGUCAUGUGCCCAUGUUUGAGCCGAUCACCACUGUCUGGGUCAUGGGGCACCGUGAUUGGCUCAGCCAGAGUCACAUGACUGCCUCUGUGGCCCCAGAGGGCAGGGUAAGUCAUGAAAAACUCUCAACCAGGAUUAUGUGAUUAAUCCUGAGAGCACUAUUGCUAUUUUGUAAUAUGUGCAGUUUGCCAGAAACAAAGCAAAUGGAGUCUUAGCUCAUUUGGCUGAAAUAGUCUUGCACUGCUCAAAAGUAGGCAAAGUAGGAAAGGGCUAAAAGGGAGAAGUGUAAUUCUCAGAAGGAGCUGAAACUCCUGUCAUGCUGAAAUGCAAAUUGGAUAAAUAUCAAUUUUAAACCGAGUGUGAUUACGUCUUUUAGUUCUCAUCCACAUGAGCGUGGGCUUCAUGAUCCUGGCCCUGACCCUGUGUCUCGUCCUCCUCCUGGCCAUGGGCUUCUCCUUCCGGCCAGUGUUCCGCCGCCUUAACAAGGCUGACCUCAUCUUCAGUUCCCUCAGCUUUUGCAUCGUGCAGGGCUCCUGGUUGCCCUCAGCCUGACGCUCUUUGUGGCCAACUGCGAGACGCUCCAACCGAGGCCACAGCAGAGCACCCUGAAGUCCAUGUCCGAACAGCAGCAGUCAGACCCAGACUCCAGGCGCACCGAGGAAGAGCCCAGCUCACUUCCUCCCCAAGAACCCCCGUCUAAGCCUCUCUAAGCAAUUGCACCCGAGCUUCUCAGGACACUGACGCCUAACCGCCGCCAGGUGUCGGGCCCACCCAUUUCGUCUUGGCCACGCGCCCGAGAUUAGACUU